UACGUAGGGUGCGAGCGUUGUCCGGAAUUAUUGGGCGUAAAGAGCUCGUAGGCGGUGUGUCGCGUCGGUCGUGAAAACUUGGGGCUUAACCCUGAGCUUGCGGUCGAUACGGGCAUCACUGGAGUUCGGCAGGGGAGACUGGAAUUCCUGGUGUAGCGGUGAAAUGCGCAGAUAUCAGGAGGAACACCGGUGGCGAAGGCGGGUCUCUGGGCCGAUACUGACGCUGAGGAGCGAAAGCGUGGGGAGCAAACAGG
This 254-nucleotide ribosomal RNA is filed under the name uncultured bacterium. RNAcentral describes it as "partial 16S ribosomal RNA". It matches the Rfam family "Bacterial small subunit ribosomal RNA", at positions 524 to 776 of the family's 1533-position model. The record is from RNAcentral.